Molecule: signal recognition particle RNA, 98 nt
Filed under: Lentisphaerae bacterium GWF2_44_16
Lineage: Bacteria; Pseudomonadati; Lentisphaerota
Also listed under: 1 other name
Description: signal recognition particle sRNA small type
Rfam family: Bacterial small signal recognition particle RNA
About the family: The signal recognition particle (SRP) is a universally conserved ribonucleoprotein involved in the co-translational targeting of proteins to membranes. Archaeal SRP consists of a 7S RNA and homologues of the eukaryotic SRP19 and SRP54 proteins.
Source: RNAcentral
UGUUGGAACUUAUGCGCUGGCCUUCUGUUAACGGGUCAGAUGGGGAACCAAGCAGCCACAUACAAUAAGACCAGGUGCCGUAGGCUUCUCUGGCAGUC